RNAcentral lists this long non-coding RNA (200 nucleotides) under Elaeis guineensis (African oil palm). RNAcentral describes it as "long non-coding RNA (EGUI_LNC048068)". Lineage: Eukaryota; Viridiplantae; Streptophyta; Magnoliopsida; Arecales; Arecaceae. The record is from RNAcentral.
ACUAUAAAUAUUGGUACCUACAUGGGGAGAUGUGAGAGACAGUUACAAGGGUUAGAAAUGAGCAAGACAUGGACAUAGAUAUAAUGAUAGAUAUGGUUAUGGAUGCUACUGAUCUGGAAUUUAAUUAGGAUGUAGAGGAUGAUUCAGAAGCUACCAGUGGUGAUUUCUAUCACAUGCAGAGAGAUGCUAAUGAACCACUA